UGUAAACGAGUUGCCACAGCAUAACAUAAAUUCUAAAGAAAAAUAUAGAAGUUCCCUUCUGUGAGUGUGUAUCAGAUGCAUCAUGCAUUAAUACUCUGGAAUUUACAAUAUGAACUCUAUAAUCAGAGAAUGUAGAUUUGAAGUUUGAUCCAUUUACAGCUGACAAAUUUUAAUAUCAAGUUUCUAUAGAUAUAAAACUACUGCAGAACUAUCUUCUUUAGCAUCGAUCUUUG
RNAcentral lists this unclassified non-coding RNA (233 nucleotides) under Hevea brasiliensis (rubber tree). Lineage: Eukaryota; Viridiplantae; Streptophyta; Magnoliopsida; Malpighiales; Euphorbiaceae. The record is from RNAcentral.